Small nuclear RNA from Jaculus jaculus (lesser Egyptian jerboa), 104 nucleotides. NCBI's taxonomy places the organism in Eukaryota, Metazoa, Chordata, Mammalia, Rodentia, Dipodidae. The record is from Ensembl.
GUGUUUCCUUCAGCAGUACAAAUACUAAAAUUGGAAUGAUACAGAAAUUAACAUGGCCCCUGCACAAGGAAGACAUGCAAAUUUUUGAAGCCUUCCAUGUUAUU